UACGUAGGGUGCGAGCGUUAAUCGGGAUUACUGGGCGUAAAGCGUGCGCAGGCGGUUUUGUAAGCCAGAUGUGAAAUCCCCGGGCUUAACCUGGGAAUGGCAUUUGGGACUGCAAGGCUGGAGUGCGGCAGAGGAGACUGGAAUUCCUGGUGUAGCAGUGAAAUGCGUAGAUAUCAGGAGGAAUACCGAUGGCGAAGGCAGGUCUCUGGGCUGACACUGACGCUCAUGCACGAAAGCGUGGGGAGCAAACAGG
This 253-nucleotide ribosomal RNA is filed under the name uncultured bacterium. RNAcentral describes it as "partial 16S ribosomal RNA". It matches the Rfam family "Bacterial small subunit ribosomal RNA", at positions 524 to 776 of the family's 1533-position model. The record is from RNAcentral.